RNAcentral lists this ribosomal RNA (391 nucleotides) under uncultured bacterium. RNAcentral's name for it is "bacterial SSU rRNA". It matches the Rfam family "Bacterial small subunit ribosomal RNA", at positions 28 to 417 of the family's 1533-position model. The record is from RNAcentral.
GACGAACGCUGGCGGCGUGCUUAACACAUGCAAGUCGAGCGGUAAGGCCCUUUCGGGGGUACACGAGCGGCGAACGGGUGAGUAACACGUGGGUGACCUGCCCUCAGCUCUGGGAUAAGCCUGGGAAACCGGGUCUAAUACUGGAUAUGACUCCAUGACGCAUGUUGUGGGGUGGAAAGCCUUGUGCGGCUGAGGAUGGGCCCGCGGCCUAUCAGCUUGUUGGUGGGGUGAUGGCCUACCAAGGCGACGACGGGUAGCCGGCCUGAGAGGGCGACCGGCCACACUGGGACUGAGACACGGCCCAGACUCCGUACGGGAGGCAGCGAGUGGGGAAUCUUGCGCAAGUGGGCGAAAGCCUGACGCAGCGACGCCGCGUGAGGGAUGACGGCCU